Molecule: ribosomal RNA, 299 nt
Filed under: uncultured bacterium
Lineage: Bacteria
Description: partial 16S ribosomal RNA
Rfam family: Bacterial small subunit ribosomal RNA
Source: RNAcentral
UAAUACAGAGGGUGCGAGCGUUAAUCGGAAUUACUGGGCGUAAAGCGCACGUAGGCGGCUUGGUAUGUCGGGUGUGAAAUCCCCGGGCUCAACCUGGGAACUGCAUCCGAAACUGCCUUGCUCGAGUAUGGGAGAGGGAAGUGGAAUUUCCGGUGUAGCGGUGAAAUGCGUAGAUAUCGGAAGGAACAUCAGUGGCGAAGGCGACUUCCUGGACCAAUACUGACGCUCAGGUGCGAAAGCGUGGGGAGCAAACAGGAUUAGAUACCCUGGUAGUCCACGCCCUAAACGAUGAGAACUGG